AUGCCUCUCCCCGUCCUGCUCGCCCUGCUCUGCGCCCUACACGCUCCCGCGAGCUCCGCGUCCACGGAGACGUACUCCCUCUCGCCAGGCCAGUCGCUCGCCGGCGACGACAAGCUCGUCUCCAGCGGCGGCAAGUUCGCGCUCGGCUUCAUCCAGAUCCCAGGCAGCGAGAGCAACCCCUCCGGCUCCGGCGGCAACAACACUCAACUAGGCAUAUGGUUCAACCUCAAUCGUGUUCCCAAGCUGACACUGGUGUGGGUGGCCAACAGGGGAGGCGGCCCGGUGGCCGGCGCCGCCUCCCCGGAGCUCACGAUCUCCGGCGACGGCAACCUCGUCAUCGUGGACCGCGGCAAAGUCGCCUGGUCCACCCAAGCCGACGUCACAGCCAACAACAACAACAGGACGGUCCUCCUUCUCCUGGACACCGGGAACCUCGUCCUGCGCAGCGCCUCCAACGCCUCCGGCGUGCUGUGGCAGAGCUUCGACCACCCCACGGACACUCUGCUCCCCGGCGCCACCAUCGGGCUGGACAAGGUCACCGGCCGGAGCCGCCGCCUCGUCUCCAGGAAGAACCGGAUCGACCAGGCUCCGGGCCUGUACUCCAUGGAGCUGGGACGGAGCGGCGUCGUCCAGAUGCUGUGGGACUCGUCCGUGCCGUACUGGUCCAGCGGGGAGUGGAACGGCGAGUACUUCAGCUCUGUGCCGGGGAUGACCGCCCGCCACCUGUUUGGCUUCACGUUCGUCAACGACGACCGGGAGGUUUCCUUCGCCUACCACCUGCUCGACGAAACGAUCACCAUGUACAGCUUCCUGGACGUGUCCGGGCAGAGGAAGGUGUUGGCCUGGCACGAAGCUACGCAGAACUGGGCGACGGUCUACACCCACCCCACCGCGCAGUGCGAGGUACAUGCCGCCUGCGGGCCAUUUACAGUCUGCGACGACAACGCGCCACCGCCUUGCAGCUGCAUGAAGGGAUUCUCCGUGGAUUCGCCUGAGGAUUGGGACCUUGAUGAUCGAAGCACGAGCGGAUGCAGGAGGAACACUCAGCUGAAUUGUGAUAGCAUUAGUAACGGCACCAUGGUUGGCAUGUCUGACAUGUUCUACGCCAUGCCGGCCGUCAGAUUGCCCUAUAAUCCCCACAGCACCGCGGGACAUGUCACCGGCGCAGCCCAAUGCGAGCAGGUCUGUCUGAGCAACUGCUCUUGCACUGCAUAUUCCUUUGGAAGCGGUGGCUGUUCUAUGUGGCAUGGUGGAUUGCUGAAUGUAAAACAACACCAGAUUGAUGAUGCUUCCAGCGGCGAUGGGGAAAUUCUUCACAUCCGCCUCGCGGCAAAAGAGUUCCGGACCCGGAAAAACAACAGUGUAGUUGUCAUUUUGGGUGCCAUCGGUGCAGGCCUCAACGCUUUGGGUAUCUUGGUACUAAUCGUAGUGCUACGCAGGACCAGGAGGAACAAAAGGUACAGUGAAACAUUAGACAAAAUCCAUGGUGGUAGUGGGCUUGUUUCAUUCAGAUACAGCGAUUUGCGGCGUGCAACUAGAGAUUUCUCGGAGAAGAUUGGGGCAGGUGGUUUUGGUUCUGUGUUCAAGGGGUCACUAAAUGAUUCGACCACUAUAGCAGUGAAAAGGCUCUACGGUUGUUAUCAACAAGAGAAGCAAUUCAGGGCUGAGGUGAGUUCAAUUGGAAUCCUCCACCAUACAAAUUUAGUCAAAAUGGUUGGUUUUUGUUGUGAGGGCGACAAGAAGCUUCUUGUCUACGAACACAUGCCAAAUAGUUCCCUUGACGCCCAUCUGUUCAGGAGCAGUGCCAAAACUCUGAAUUGGAGAACCAGAUACCAAAUAGCUCUUGGAGUUGCCAGGGGGCUAGCAUACUUGCACGAAAGCUGCCUGGACUACAUCAUACACUGUGAUAUAAAGCCGCAAAAUAUACUUCUCGACGCGUUGUUCGUUCCUAAGAUCACCGACUUUGGGAUGGCAAAGCUUCUCACAAGGGAUUUUAGCAGGGUCAUGACCACAACCAGGGGCACAAUUGGGUACCUCGCUCCUGAAUGGAUCAGUGGAGUGGCUAUCACGCCCAAAGUCGAUGUGUACGGAUAUGGGAUGGUGCUAUUGGAAAUCAUAUCUGGGAGGAUGAACGCGAACGGAGAAUGCGGCAGCAGUGGUGAUGACAUUGUUUAUUUCCCCAUCCAGGUGGCACGCAAGCUUCUCGAGGGAAAUGUCAUGAGCUUCGUGGAUGAUAGGUUAAACGGUGAUGUCAUCGUCGACGAGGUUGAAAGGGCUUGCAAGGUUGCCUGUUGGUGCAUUCAGGACAGGGAGUUUGAACGGCCAACGAUGGGCAAGAUAGUCCAGAUUCUUGAGGGUCUUGUUGAAGUCGACACCCCUCCGAUGCCUAAGCUACUCGAAGCUAUCGCCGGAAGGUCACACUCAGCAUGCACCUAA
Molecule: ribosomal RNA, 2436 nt
Filed under: Triticum aestivum (bread wheat)
Lineage: Eukaryota; Viridiplantae; Streptophyta; Magnoliopsida; Poales; Poaceae
Description: partial small subunit ribosomal RNA
Source: RNAcentral